RNAcentral lists this ribosomal RNA (2908 nucleotides) under Vibrio parahaemolyticus. Its description in RNAcentral is "23S ribosomal RNA". It matches the Rfam family "Bacterial large subunit ribosomal RNA". The record is from RNAcentral. Lineage: Bacteria; Pseudomonadati; Pseudomonadota; Gammaproteobacteria; Vibrionales; Vibrionaceae.
GGUUAAGUGACUAAGCGUACACGGUGGAUGCCUUGGCAGUCAGAGGCGAUGAAAGACGUAGUAACUUGCGAUAAGCCCAGAUUAGGUAGUAACAACCAUUUGAGUCUGGGAUUUCUGAAUGGGGAAACCCACGUGCAUAAGCACGUAUCCUUACNNNNNNNNNNNNNNNUGAAUACAUAGGGUAAGGAGGCGAACCGGGGGAACUGAAACAUCUAAGUACCCCGAGGAAAAGAAAUCAACCGAGAUUCCGAAAGUAGCGGCGAGCGAAAUUGGACUAGCCCUUAAGCUUUACACGCGUUAGACGAACGGUCUGGAAAGUCCGACGAUACAGGGUGAUAGUCCCGUAGUUGACGACGUGUGUUCAGUGAAAUCGAGUAGGGCGGGACACGUGAUAUCCUGUCUGAAUAUGGGGGGACCAUCCUCCAAGGCUAAAUACUACUGACUGACCGAUAGUGAACCAGUACCGUGAGGGAAAGGCGAAAAGAACCCCUGUGAGGGGAGUGAAAUAGAACCUGAAACCGUGUACGUACAAGCAGUAGGAGCAGGCUUUGUCCUGUGACUGCGUACCUUUUGUAUAAUGGGUCAGCGACUUAUAUUCAGUGGCAAGGUUAACCAUCUAGGGGAGCCGUAGGGAAACCGAGUCUUAACUGGGCGUUCAGUCUCUGGAUAUAGACCCGAAACCAGGUGAUCUAGCCAUGGGCAGGUUGAAGGUUGAGUAACAUCAACUGGAGGACCGAACCGACUAAUGUUGAAAAAUUAGCGGAUGACUUGUGGCUAGGGGUGAAAGGCCAAUCAAACCUGGAGAUAGCUGGUUCUCCCCGAAAGCUAUUUAGGUAGCGCCUCGGACGAAUACUACUGGGGGUAGAGCACUGUUAAGGCUAGGGGGUCAUCCCGACUUACCAACCCUUUGCAAACUCCGAAUACCAGUAAGUACUAUCCGGGAGACACACGGCGGGUGCUAACGUCCGUCGUGGAGAGGGAAACAACCCAGACCGCCAGCUAAGGUCCCAAAUUACUACUAAGUGGGAAACGAUGUGGGAAGGCUCAGACAGCCAGGAUGUUGGCUUAGAAGCAGCCAUCAUUUAAAGAAAGCGUAAUAGCUCACUGGUCGAGUCGGCCUGCGCGGAAGAUGUAACGGGGCUAAGUAGUAAACCGAAGCUGCGGCAAUGUGCUUUUGCACAUUGGGUAGGGGAGCGUUCUGUAAGCGGUUGAAGGUGUGUGGUAACGCAUGCUGGACGUAUCAGAAGUGCGAAUGCUGACAUGAGUAACGAUAAAGGGGGUGAAAAACCUCCUCGCCGGAAGACCAAGGGUUCCUGUCCAACGUUAAUCGGGGCAGGGUAAGUCGACCCCUAAGGCGAGGCCGAAAGGCGUAGUCGAUGGGAAACGGGUUAAUAUUCCCGUACUUCUUACAAUUGCGAUGGGGGGACGGAGAAGGCUAGGUGGGCCUGGCGACGGUUGUCCAGGUUCAAGUGCGUAGGCUUAAGAGUUAGGUAAAUCCGGCUCUUUUUAAGGCUGAGACACGACGUCGAGCACCUACGGGUGUGAAGUCAUUGAUGCCAUGCUUCCAGGAAAAGCCUCUAAGCUUCAGAUUGUAAGGAAUCGUACCCCAAACCGACACAGGUGGUCGGGUAGAGAAUACCAAGGCGCUUGAGAGAACUCGGGUGAAGGAACUAGGCAAAAUGGUACCGUAACUUCGGGAGAAGGUACGCUCUCGACGGUGAAGUCCCUCGCGGAUGGAGCUAUUNNNGAGAGUCGCAGAUACCAGGUGGCUGCAACUGUUUAUUAAAAACACAGCACUGUGCAAAAUCGUAAGAUGACGUAUACGGUGUGACGCCUGCCCGGUGCCGGAAGGUUAAUUGAUGGGGUUAGACUUCGGUCGAAGCUCUUGAUCGAAGCCCCGGUAAACGGCGGCCGUAACUAUAACGGUCCUAAGGUAGCGAAAUUCCUUGUCGGGUAAGUUCCGACCUGCACGAAUGGCGUAAUGAUGGCCACGCUGUCUCCACCCGAGACUCAGUGAAAUUGAAAUCGCUGUGAAGAUGCAGUGUACCCGCGGCUAGACGGAAAGACCCCGUGAACCUUUACUACAGCUUGGCACUGAACAUUGACCCUACAUGUGUAGGAUAGGUGGGAGGCUUUGAAGCACGUACGCCAGUAUGUGUGGAGCCGUCCUUGAAAUACCACCCUUGUAGUGUUGAUGUUCUAACGUCGACCCCUAAUCGGGGUUGCGGACAGUGCCUGGUGGGUAGUUUGACUGGGGCGGUCUCCUCCCAAAGAGUAACGGAGGAGCACGAAGGUGGGCUAAUCACGGUUGGACAUCGUGAGGUUAGUGCAAUGGCAUAAGCCCGCUUGACUGCGAGAAUGACAAUUCGAGCAGGUGCGAAAGCAGGUCAUAGUGAUCCGGUGGUUCUGAAUGGAAGGGCCAUCGCUCAACGGAUAAAAGGUACUCCGGGGAUAACAGGCUGAUACCGCCCAAGAGUUCAUAUCGACGGCGGUGUUUGGCACCUCGAUGUCGGCUCAUCACAUCCUGGGGCUGAAGUCGGUCCCAAGGGUAUGGCUGUUCGCCAUUUAAAGUGGUACGCGAGCUGGGUUUAGAACGUCGUGAGACAGUUCGGUCCCUAUCUGCCGUGGGCGUUGGAAGAUUGAAGGGGGCUGCUCCUAGUACGAGAGGACCGGAGUGGACGAACCUCUGGUGUUCGGGUUGUGUCGCCAGACGCAUUGCCCGGUAGCUAAGUUCGGAAUCGAUAACCGCUGAAAGCAUCUAAGCGGGAAGCGAGCCCUGAGAUGAGUCUUCCCUGAUACUUUAAGUAUCCUAAAGGGUUGUCGGAGACUACGACGUUGAUAGGUCAGGUGUGUAAGUGCUGUGAGGCAUUGAGCUAACUGAUACUAAUUGCCCGUGAGGCUUAACCAU